ACGGGUGAGUAACGCGUGGGAAUCUACCCAUCUCUACGGAACAACUCCGGGAAACUGGAGCUAAUACCGUAUACGUCCUUCGGGAGAAAGAUUUAUCGGAGAUGGAUGAGCCCGCGUUGGAUUAGCUAGUUGGUGGGGUAAUGGCCUACCAAGGCGACGAUCCAUAGCUGGUCUGAGAGGAUGAUCAGCCACACUGGGACUGAGACACGGCCCAGACUCCUACGGGAGGCAGCAGUGGGGAAUAUUGGACAAUGGGCGAAAGCCUGAUCCAGCCAUGCCGCGUGAGUGAUGAAGGCCCUAGGGUUGUAAAGCUCUUUCAACGGUGAAGAUAAUGACGGUAACCGUAGAAGAAGCCCCGGCUAACUUCGUGCCAGCAGCCGCGGUAAUACGAAGGGGGCUAGCGUUGUUCGGAAUUACUGGGCGUAAAGCGCACGUAGGCGGAUACUUAAGUCAGGGGUGAAAUCCCGGGGCUCAACCCCGGAACUGCCUUUGAUACUGGGUAUCUCGAGUCCGGAAGAGGUGAGUGGAGUUCCGAGUGUAGAGGUGAAAUUCGUAGA
Molecule: ribosomal RNA, 557 nt
Filed under: uncultured bacterium
Lineage: Bacteria
Description: bacterial SSU rRNA
Rfam family: Bacterial small subunit ribosomal RNA
Source: RNAcentral